GUUUUUUAAUCGACAACCCACGUUAAUUUUCACUUUAAUUAAAAAUUUAUAUACCGCCAUCUAAAAAACUAAUUCAAUGAUAAUAUUUUUAAUAAAAACUAAAAAGUUAGGUCAAGGUGUAAUCUAUAUUAAAGAAAAUAAUGGGUUACAUUAAAAUUAAUUUAAGGAUUAUUUUAUAAAAACAUUCUUCGAAAAAGGAUUUAAAAGUAAUACUAAAACAAUAUUUUAUUAUGAUUUAGAUAAAAAAUGUGCACACAUCGCCCGUC
RNAcentral lists this ribosomal RNA (266 nucleotides) under Alopecosa pulverulenta. Its description in RNAcentral is "12S Ribosomal RNA". The record is from RNAcentral. Lineage: Eukaryota; Metazoa; Arthropoda; Arachnida; Araneae; Lycosidae. RNAcentral also lists the same sequence under 1 other name.